This 651-nucleotide long non-coding RNA is filed under the name Bos taurus (domestic cattle). RNAcentral describes it as "long non-coding RNA NONBTAT025053". The record is from RNAcentral. Lineage: Eukaryota; Metazoa; Chordata; Mammalia; Artiodactyla; Bovidae.
CAUGAUUUAGGCAGAACCUACAGUGCACAUAAACAAAUGCACUGAAAGGUCAUUGGCAGCAAUGGGAAACAGUGAUGGAUUUUACAAGAUUCAACCAACUGACUUUUUAUGAAAAUUUCAGUUUCCUGCCUUGGAUUCUAUCUAAACUGACAAAAACACACAUUUAAAUUUCUCAAAUUUCUCAUGGGAUGUUCACUUGUGUAGAGUGUCUGGCAAGGAUUUCUGAUAAAUCAAUCUGUCAGGUGCCAUACUUUUAAUAUUUAUGAGGAAAGCUGCCAGGCUGGACAAAACACAUGCUAAUGUUUUCUCUUCACACAAAAGAUCAGAGCUGUGCAUACAAAAAUGCACUGCUUAAUUGCACAAAGUACACCGUAGUAUUUUAGCAGAAGAUUAUUUAAAGAUGGAUGGGAAAAGCCAAAACAAUAAGCUGGUGAAAUUACCCAUUCCUAAAUGUUGACAUUAUUAGUUCUAGCAAUAGAGCUGCACAAUCAUUAGAACGUAUUUUACCCAAUCAUCUGUGUCAUGUAGAAAAGACCUGGUCUUAAAGGCCCAGCAAUUUUCUUGUAACAUUGAGCACCACUGACCUCUGGCCUUCAGCAAUGCCCUCCCAACACCUGCACUCCGGUGAGCCAGAACAAAACAUGCCAUUCA